GGAUGUGAGGGCGAUCUGGCUGCGACAUCUGUCACCCCAUUGAUCGCCAGGGUUGAUUCGGCUGAUCUGGCUGGCUAGGCGGGUGUCCCCUUCCUCCUCACCACUCCAUGUGCAUCCCUCCCGAAGCUACGCGCUUGGUCGAAGAGUACAACCAUCCCCGAUAGAGGAGGACCGGUCUUCAGUCAAGGGUAUACGAGUAGCUGUGCUCCUCUGCUAGAACCUCCAAACAAGCUCUCAAGAAAGCUUGCUCUAAAAUUCCAAUUUCUGAUGGAUUCAAUGAGCUUGUCAGUCACUGCCUCCUUUCCCUUCUCUCUUCUGGGAAAAAGGGGUUUUUUUUCCUGCUGAG
RNAcentral lists this small nuclear RNA (346 nucleotides) under Aotus nancymaae (Ma's night monkey). Its description in RNAcentral is "7SK RNA (ENSANAG00000010359.1)". It matches the Rfam family "7SK RNA". From Rfam's summary of the family: 7SK was discovered as an abundant small nuclear RNA in the mid-70s but a possible function has only recently been suggested. Two independent studies have found that 7SK RNA binds the CDK9/cyclin T complex (known as elongation factor P-TEFb). The record is from RNAcentral. Lineage: Eukaryota; Metazoa; Chordata; Mammalia; Primates; Aotidae.